This 485-nucleotide ribosomal RNA is filed under the name uncultured bacterium. Its description in RNAcentral is "partial 16S ribosomal RNA". It matches the Rfam family "Bacterial small subunit ribosomal RNA", at positions 28 to 507 of the family's 1533-position model. The record is from RNAcentral.
GACGAACGCUGGCGGCGCGCCUAACACAUGCAAGUCGAGCGAUGAAAUUUUAACCGUUCUCUUCGGAGAGAAGACAAAAUGGAUUAGCGGCGGACGGGUGAGUAACACGUGAGAAACCAGCCUUUCACAAGGGGAUAGCCUCGGGAAACCGGGAUCAAUACCCUAUGACACAUGUCCUUCGCAUGGAAGAAAUGUUAAAACUCCGGCGGUGGGAGAUGAUCUCGCGCCCGAUUAGCUAGUUGGUGGGGUAGCGGCUGACCAAGGCCAGGACGGGUAACCGGCCUGACAGGGGGGGCGGCCCCAUUGGGACGGAGAGACGGCCCAGACACCUACCGGAGGGAGCAGUGGGGAAGAGUGCACAAUGGGCGGAAGCCAGAUGCAGCAACGCCGCGUGCGGGAUGACGGCCGUCGUGUUGUAACCCGCUUUCGCCUGUGACGAAGCGUGAGUGACGGUAAUGGGUAAAGAAGCCCCGGCUAACUACGUG